RNAcentral lists this transfer RNA (73 nucleotides) under Orbicella faveolata. RNAcentral's name for it is "tRNA-Val". It matches the Rfam family "tRNA". From Rfam's summary of the family: Transfer RNA (tRNA) molecules are approximately 80 nucleotides in length. Their secondary structure includes four short double-helical elements and three loops (D, anti-codon, and T loops). The record is from RNAcentral. Lineage: Eukaryota; Metazoa; Cnidaria; Anthozoa; Scleractinia; Merulinidae.
GUUUCCGUAGUGUAGUGGUUAUCACGUCCGCUUUACACGCGGAAGGUCGCCGGUUCGAGCCCGGCCGGGAACA